AGUCUUCGGACGAGUACAGCGGCGUAAGGGUGAGUAAUAGGUAGUCAACGUGCCCGUGAGACGCGAAUAAUUUUCCGAAAGGGAUUGUAAUGCGCGAUGAGACCACGCGCUCUUCGGAGCGAGGGGUCAAAGGUCGGGGAUCCUUCGGGACCCGGCGGCUCAUGGAGCGGACGACCUCCGAUUAGCUAGAUGGCGGGGUAACGGCCCACCAUGGCGAUGAUCGGUAGCCGGCCUGAGAGGGUGUUCGGCCACACUGGGACUGAGACACUGCCCAGACUCCUACGGGAGGCUGCAGUCGCGAAUCAUUCACAAUGGGCGCAAGCCUGAUGAUGCCACGCCGCGUGCGGGAUGAAGGCCCUCUGGGUUGUAAACCGCUGUCAAGAGGGGGGAAACGUAUGGUGUUAACAGCGCCAUGCCUGACUGCCCACUAAAGGAAGCCCCGGCAAAACAUGUGCCAGCAGCCGCGGUAAUACAUGUGGGGCAAGCGUUGUUCGGAAUUACUGGGCAUAAAGGGUGCGUAGGCGGCUUGUUAAGUCAGAGGUGAAAGUUUUCGGCCCAACCGGAAAAUGGCCUUUGAUACUGGCGAGCUUGAGUGCGUGAGGGGUAACCGGAACGAGUGGUGUAGCGGUGAAAUGCGUAGAUAUCACUCGGAAGGCCAACGGCGAAGGCAGGUUACUGGUACGCAACUGACGCUGAGGCACGAAAGCGUGGGGAGCAAACAGGAUUAGAUACCCUGGUA
This 739-nucleotide ribosomal RNA is filed under the name uncultured bacterium. RNAcentral's name for it is "bacterial SSU rRNA". It matches the Rfam family "Bacterial small subunit ribosomal RNA", at positions 75 to 792 of the family's 1533-position model. The record is from RNAcentral.